GUGGGGCCCGGAACGAUGUGUGAGUGAGAUAUUACACCAAAUACCAAAGAAAUACGCCCUGUUGCUGGGCGGGCAGACCGCGCAGUUGUUGUAGAAAAGUCUCGUUAUCAACUCGUUUAAACCGGAAGUUGCGAAUCACAGUCCAACACACACCCAAACACACACACACACACACACAUUAACACUCGAACAAACCAACACAUGACACGUUCACACACGCAGAUGUAUACAGGAUAAAAUAUAUCAUUAUACACAAGUAAAGGCCACUAGUGGCGCAACGACAGCUUGAAGCGGCCGACAAUGGCGACAAUGAGGACGAUGAUGAUGACUAUGAUGAUGAUGAUCAUGUGAGAGCUUAAAUGAAAGAGGUAGAAAGAGGUAGCAGCACGCACACGUUGCAUGCGUCUGAGUCGUGCGCAUAUAGCGCAGGUCGAGUGAAAGCCUGUAGAAACAGACAAAAUAAAAAAAAAACCGUAAGAUUACCCUUUAGAUAGUCCUUUGAACCUAAAGCAAAAAAAAAAACAAAGCACAGCAACGGCCACGUAGGCGAGCAGGGCCAGGCAAGGCAGGCCCCCUUGGCUGACAAUUGGAAAACCAGGAUCCGGGAAAAACGAUGAAACGAUGGUUGGUGCAAGAGAUCGGUGGUGCGUGCCAGUGGACAGGCCAAACAGGCCUCCCCCCCGGGCAGCCGCCAGCCCAGCAGCCGUGGCCCAACCUUGCUGUUGUCCAGCUUCCCCAAAAGCCAAAAAAAAAACGCGAAAUCAAAUAAACUUUAUCCAUAUCGUCUAGCUGCUAAUUGAAGCCUCUUAGAAAACGCACCGUCAAGCUUACGCCAAACAAACAAAAACAAAAAAAAAACACUCACAUAAUCACCGAAGAGGUAAUAACGGGGGAACAAGAGGCGCCGGACAGGUGGGGCGACAGUGGGAGGGGAAAACGAAGGACAGGAAGACGAAAACUAGAAGACGAAGGAAAAGACAAACAAAACACAGACAAACCAAAGUCGCGUCGCUGUGAGUGGAACGUUGUCAAUCGCAACGAAGGCAAGCGCCCCCCUCCCCCCACCACUCCUUUAGGCUUUGCUUUAGCUUUAGACGGCCCUUUCGCGCGGGCAUCGCGCGUCGCCCACGCGAUUGAAUGGAACGGAUCCCGAAUAAUAAAACAGAAGAAGAAAGAAAAGAAAAAACAGCAAACACCCACUCGUGUCUGCGGGCGGAUCUGCGGGCGAGCGGAAGUCCGAACGGAGGCCGUGGGUCGUGGGGUGCUGCAGAACUAAAUUAGUAAGAAUAGAAAGAAAAUUUAAAGCAAAAAAAAAAUAAAAUAAACAAACGGAAAACCCAACCAACAAAAAAACACAAAAAAAAAACGAAGAGUCAAAGACACCCCGUGCAACUAGCUAGAAGGUAGUGCAGGAGUGACUGCGGGAGAGGGGGAGGGAGGACCGGGAAACCGUGCAAACUGUGUAAGUUAAAUAUAGUAGAUAAAGAAGCAAAGAGAAAGGGGGCACGCGAACGCCUAGGCAAUAGGCAUUGGCUGUUAGUAAGUAGACAACGAUGAAACGAAACACAAAAGAAAAAAGAAACCAAAAGUAAAACCAAAAACCAAAUAAAUAUAAAUAGAGAAAAAAACAAAGUUUGUCGCUGCUGUGUGGGAGGUAGGGGGAGAGGAUUCGAUCGUGGGGUGGUGGGGUGGAGCGGGGUGGAUAAAGAAUAGAGGCAGUAGAGUAAAGUAGCGCGCAAACGAUCACCAAACCUAUUGCGUCGGCCAAUGCGUUUUGUACAUUUUUCGCCAGUUGCAACAGUAGUAGUAGAGAAAGAGAGGGAGGAAGGGAGGGAAGGAAGGGCUAAAAGCGAUGCUAGGAAAGACCAGGAAAACAAACCAAAAGUGAAAGAAGAAAAAGAAAGAAAAAAAAACAUGCUAAAGCUACAUUUUUCUCAUAUCUGCAAUUAUUAUCCUUAGAUGGGCGGCAUCAUAAGAGUGGAAGAGAUGAACAGACAGCGGGAGAGAGAGAGAGAGAGAGAGAGAGAGAGAGAGAAAGAGAGAGAGAGAGAGAGCGAAGCGUAGGGAAGGAUUGGGUGUUCGAACCCCUAGAGAAUUGACGGUAGGGUGUCCGCAGGAUGUGACUACUAUUUGUUUAGAUCUAGAGCCUUUCCGCUCCUCCUUCAGCACUGCCGGUGCAUUCUCAAACUACUCUAUUCGCCCCCGCCCUCCCCCGGCCCGGCCUUCCUCUUUCCCCCCUCUUUCCCUUCUGCCUUCUGCUUUCUUCUUUCCUUGCUUUCUUACCUCCUCGUUUCCCAAAACAAAAGAUCCUCAGAGAAAACGUGUUUUCGGUGCCCUGUGCCAUGGAGCAGCACCACUGCGGCUAAGCGGUCAUGUGUCUCGUGCGAUUAUCAAAGGCUGUAGCUACACCCCAGCCCCAGACGGAGCAGCGAGCAGCAAGUGCAACAAUUGGAUGGAUGGCUGGUUAAGCACGUGGUCGAUGGGCACACACAACAAAAAAAAAAGAAACAAGAAAACAAAAAACGGAAAGACACACACUACUCUCGCAACCCCCUCACAAUUACAAAUGCGGCAUAGCAAACCAAAAACGGGCAGGCUGGGGCAGCCUGCAGGAUGGAGGCAGAACGAGCACAAGCAGUGAACCAAAAUUCUUAUGAUUAAUACAAAAAAACUCCGUCUCGGUCUCCUUCUCCACCGAACAGCAAACAGACACGGAGGGAACCACACUUCAGUAAGGCACAUACACGCCAGUGGAGGCGCCUGGUAGCCCACAGCCUGCUGCAGCGCCAGCUUCCUGUGAUGCAAACGGAUGGGUAACCUAAUCACUGGUUGCCCGGCUGUCCCGUUUCCGGUGAGCUACGCACGCUACGCAACCGUACCGUCCGCAAGGACAGGGAGCAACCGCCUUCACAGGCCAAUCGGUACCCGGUCCCUGUGCGACAAGACCCAGUUUAAGAUGCGUCCUUCCUCUCUACCGCGGGGCAUGGCAGCAAUGCAGGUGCAGGAUGCAACAUAAACCAAAACCUAGGAAGAGUUAGUGAAUAGAAACCGACGGGGAAACGGAGAAGAACCAACAACAGCAACAACAAAAAAGCAAAAACACAUACAAGGUAAAGCCAAGCUGAUUAGAUAGAGCUAAAGAAAAAAACCAUGGUUAAAUGCAUAUUUUGGUAUUGAAAUCGCCUCAAGUAAAACCAAAUAAUUCCUUUUUUUUAGAAUGAACUUAUCGUAAUGCUUAAACAAGGGAAGGUUACGGUAUGUGCCAGUGUGUGUGGGAUGAAGAUGGGCGUUAAGAAGAAAAAAACGAAGGUACCGGUGAAUCGGCGCGAAAGAAGGACUAAGCUAAAUUUACUCAUCCUUAGGAAGACACCCGACACAGAAAUCCCUUGAGAGAGAGCGAAGCAGAAGAAGAAGAAGAAGAAAAAGAAGAAAAGCAAAAUGUACACAGCGUAGUAAAAAAACGAGAGCAAACGAAAGAAUAUGAAGAACAGGAAGAAAACCAGUUAGAAAAGCAACAAAAAAAAAAACAUAAAUAAAAUGAAUCAGCAAGCAGUGAAGGGACGCAUCACAGCAGCAAACAACAGCAACAAAUACACAAGCAAGAACGAACAAACGGGCAAGGUGUUGUGGUUUAGUGUGUCAGGUGGGGUGGUAGAAGAGCGAACCGACAUAGUAUUAAUAAGAGGUAGUGCCGAACGAUGGCGGGCAACGGAGUACGAUCAGUUAUCAGGGACUGUGUAUGGUGUGAGGUCCCUUUUUGUUUUUUUUUGUGUGAGCUGCACCAACGAAGGUGAAGGUGUGGGCGAAAGAAAAAAAAAAACAAGGGCCAGGCAGUAGCGUCCAGGUUGCGCCUCAUCAUUAUUUAGGAUCACAAUGCCUGUACACGUAUACAUAUGUACUUUGCCUAUAUGGAUAUGUAUAUCAGUGCAUACACCGAAACACACCGACACACACAUACACACUCACUAUAUGUGUAUUGCUCCUGCCAGAACAUUUUUUUAUACAAUCUCAACCCCAAAAAAACCAGAAUCUAAUGUUAAUAAAAGCAACACAAAAAAAACCGCAUUCUUCGUACGUUGCAAGCUAAACAGAAAUGCCCUUCAUGCCGACGAAAGGAGAGCGACCAGUUGGGGAAACAGAUGAAAGGAAAAUGGGGCGGGGAGACGGGCUGAGAGGAAGCACGAUAGUAAGAAAACGAGUGAAAAGAUGAGUGAAAGCGAAGGAUGCGUAACAUAAUAUCGCUAGCAAAAUUUAAUAAAGAAGAAGACGAAGACGAAGACGAAGAAGAGGAAAAAACAAAACAAAACGUAAAGGAGUAAGGAGUCGCACUAAUAACUUUAAAGCAAAAAGAAACAACAAAAAAACGCCAAAAUCAAAUUGACAAGCUGAUCCACUUUAUUAUGGCUUUAGACGAUAACAAUCGGCGGGCCCCGCAGGCUUUAGGGCAGUUACUAGUCAGAGCAAGGUGGCCUAGGAGGCGAGGCGAGAAGCGUUAGAAGCGUGCUGGGAAAUGCUUGGGAUCCACCACCGCCCCCCCCCCCCCCCAUCACCCCCUUCCUGCUCCUCCUCCUCCUCAACAGACGACACAGAAAGCCAAUAGAUAGAGGGGCGGACAGGUGAUGCAGGUCGGUGCCGUCGGUGUUGUUGUCAAUGUUGUCGACGCCGAAUUAAUCGCACACCAGCACAGCUACAGACUCCUUGACAGCAGAUGGCUCUUGCAGGCUCCGCAUUUAUUCCUUAGCCUUAGCCCCUUUUAGCCAGAGCGCGCUGAUUAGAAGGAAGGGCGGAAGAUAUGGUGGUCCUAUCUCUCUCUCUUUCUCUCUCUCUCUCUCUCUCUCUCUCUCUCUUCCUCUUUUUCUCUUUAUUUCCUUUUCUUUCUCUAGCUCUCUGAGCGACCAAAAAAGGUACUCUGGAAACCGGGCAGUUGUAGCAAGGCGUACCGUAGAAACCGAAGUGGAGCGAGCCGACAUGAAAUUGUGUGUAGUGGUAGAAAGUGAAAUUCAACAUACUAACACCAUCAUCGAACACACAGACCACAUUCACGCCCAAAAACAACACAAAUUAGUAAACUUAAAAACCAAAAAAAAAAAAACAUUCAAAUUCUAAAAGACACACUCGAUGCCAGAAAGGGGUGCGAAAGGAAGAGAAAGAGAAAGCAGAAGA
Long non-coding RNA from Anopheles aquasalis, 5163 nucleotides. RefSeq lists it as uncharacterized. Lineage: Eukaryota; Metazoa; Arthropoda; Insecta; Diptera; Culicidae. The record is from RefSeq and is a predicted model, not a curated record.